UCGAGAGCGGACACGACAAUUGGUGGCC
Molecule: unclassified non-coding RNA, 28 nt
Filed under: Mus musculus (house mouse)
Lineage: Eukaryota; Metazoa; Chordata; Mammalia; Rodentia; Muridae
Description: oocyte_clustered_small_RNA9380
Source: RNAcentral